RNAcentral lists this unclassified non-coding RNA (378 nucleotides) under soil metagenome. RNAcentral describes it as "partial contains 5.8S ribosomal RNA, internal transcribed spacer 2, and large subunit ribosomal RNA". The stretch from base 1 to 120 matches the Rfam family "5.8S ribosomal RNA", at positions 35 to 154 of the family's 154-position model. The record is from RNAcentral.
GAUGAAGAACGCAGCGAAAUGCGAUAAGUAAUGUGAAUUGCAGAAUUCAGUGAAUCAUCGAAUCUUUGAACGCACAUUGCGCCCGCCAGUAUUCUGGCGGGCAUGCCUGUUCGAGCGUCAUUUCAACCCUCAAGCCCAGCUUGGUGUUGGGGACCGGCCCAAACCCCCCCUCCCUCCCUCCGGGGUGGGUGGCGGAGCGGCCGCCCCCGAAAUGAAUUGGCGGUCUCGCCGCAGCCUCCUCUGCGUAGUAGCACAAAAACAACUCGCAACGGGAGCGCGGCGCGGCCACUGCCGUAAAACGCACACAACUUCUUUUAGAGUUGACCUCGGAUCAGGUAGGAAUACCCGCUGAACUUAAGCAUAUCAAUAAGCGGAGGA